Molecule: ribosomal RNA, 253 nt
Filed under: uncultured bacterium
Lineage: Bacteria
Description: partial 16S ribosomal RNA
Rfam family: Bacterial small subunit ribosomal RNA
Source: RNAcentral
UACGGAGGGUGCGAGCGUUGUCCGGAAUCACUGGGCGUAAAGGGUGCGUAGGCGGCCUGAUAAGUAGGGGGUGAAAUCCUGCGGCUUAACCGCAGGGCUGCCUUCUAAACUGUCGGGCUAGAGCACGGUAGAGGCAGAUGGAAUUCCCGGUGUAGCGGUGGAAUGCGUAGAGAUCGGGAAGAACAUCAGUGGCGAAGGCGGUCUGCUGGGCCGUUGCUGACGCUGAGGCGCGACAGCGUGGGGAGCAAACAGG